RNAcentral lists this long non-coding RNA (3952 nucleotides) under Gallus gallus (chicken). RNAcentral's name for it is "lncRNA (ENSGALG00010007134.1)". The record is from RNAcentral. Lineage: Eukaryota; Metazoa; Chordata; Aves; Galliformes; Phasianidae.
GAUAAUAACCUUACGAACAAUACUAAAUAGUAAUGAAACAGGAUUUUCACCCCUCUGAAAUGAUCAACAGAACUUUAGCAUCUGCGUCUUCAGUGGCUGUUUUAUUGCAAGAUCAGUAGCUCAGAUGUUGUAGGUUCUUGUAGGGCAACUGAGGGGGCCUUAAAUGUCUCUCUACAAAACGUGAACAGGGGCUUACACAUAAGGUGGUUGUUGCUGAGAUGAUCUCCCCCAAGCUGACUGAAUGACCCAUUGCAGAUGUGGAAAUGUAAAAAUAUUUUGUAUAUGUCUUCAGUGUGGUUUUUCUUGUUCUUUCUUUCUUUAUUUUUUGAUUUUAUUUUUUUGUGGGAGUUGGUAUAACCGAGUAUAUAGGAAAAAUAACUGAUCUCCAAAAUUUAUUAUUUCCCUUCCAUCUUCCUGUCUACCCUUCUCUUCCUUAAAUUAAGGCCAAGGGACUUUACAGGAAUUUAUCACACAAACAGCUAUAAAGCUUUUAAUAUUUAUAACAUGAUCUAGUUUGUUUCAUUGUCUGAGCUCUCUGGUAAAAAUAGCGCUGCCUGCAAGGCAGUAUUUCCAAGCUCUUGGUUCAUCUAAGAAUUCUUCUCUGCUUACUCAGCUGCCAGCUUAGACUCUGCUUUGAAGCUGUGUACACCACCCCUAACAGUAGCUGGCCCUCAAACUAUAAACAAACCGGCCUUUUAUCACUGGAGAGCAAAUAAGGUCUGCUUUUUCUCCUAGUUCUUGAGUUUUGUAACCCUGGAUUUGCGAGUCGUGUUGGGAAGAUGGGUGGGGACCUGCUGCACAGGUCCCCUCCCUUUUCCAGCCUGUUCCCCUCCUGCUGCCUAUUGAUUUCCUUGGCAGCAUGGAGAGAAGAAGUGGUGAGCAGGAGCAGCCUACCAACUGCGGCAGCAGACUCUCUCUCCUCCCUCCCAGGAGCUGAGAACGGACUUGGCUCAGCUCCCAAAAUACAGGUCUAGAAAGUUUUUGGUUGCAGAAGAAGCAGGAGGUACAAACAUCUAGGAUCAAGCCCAUCUAAUUAUUUCCCAGAGGGGAAUGCUCGCUUGGGAUGCUGCGAAAACACGGCUGGGUAUUAUUAACCCUUGAAGAAGCAGUGGUGAUCUCAGUGGUGCACUUCUGUCAUGCAGGAGCUGCUCUUUUUGUUCAGGAAUGGGUUUGAUUUUUCGCUAGGAGCAUUUUCUAUGAGUAGGUGGUCAGGUAGGGGAUUUCCUUCCUUCUCCAUUAAUGCCGUUCUGUGAGCUGGAAGCAAAACCCCCUGCAUACCAUUAAGGGAGGAAAUAAGUGGGAGUGAUGGGCUAGGUUAUACACCUGGUGUCCUGUGGUGACAAUAUGAUCCUUGGUGAUGUGACUGUGGUCCCACCAAACUGCAGGUCAGAAAGAGUUUGAGUAUAUUUCAACAGCAAAUGAGUUUGGGAGACUGAAAACCAGAGUUAAAGGCCAACAUGGUAAAGAGACAUGAACUGUGGAAGAGUGAAAGCAGUUUGGAAGAUCUUCUAUAUCAUAGCAUUAACACAGGCAAUGUGAGGGAGACACUAUUUAAAAAAACAAAGAUUUGGCAACGUAUGGUUUCUACUCUUAGUACAGAGGGGACUUAAUUCAACUAAUAUUAGGCAGAAAGGCCUUUGUUGAAGGAAAGGAGACAGGGAAGCUGGGGUUGGAUGAGCAGCAAGAUGUUGCAAGGCGAGGCACAAACGCCAGAGGGUACUCAUGUGAGUGAACCCUGGCCACAGGAUAAGUGCUCGAAUUGCUUCUGAUUAAAGUUUGCAGUUGUGCUCACAAUGAAUAUGGUCUAUGUGGGGGGGACUCCUCUAGUAGGAUGUGGGAGAGUCUCAAAUUUCAGUAUCAUGAUUCAUUUCCCCAGUGAGUUGACCAAAGGAGGGAGUAUGGUGGGAAGCCGCCAUGAAAAAUACUCCAAGAAAUGGCAGGGAACAAAAAAACCACCAUCAGAAUUUCAGAAAUCCUGACCUAGCUCUUCUGGCUGACGUAAAAUCUCCCCGAGUUCACUCCUGCAAAUGUGGAUUUCACUGUUUCCAGGGAAAUAUUUGGCACUUUUUCAAAUUUCAGUAGAUUUUGGGACACUGGUCUCACACAGCGCUUGCUGCUUGAGUAGCUGGCUGAGAUGGGAGAUGUUUUGGCAAGGGUGGAUGAGACUGACAAUCUUGGUUCAGGGCAGGAGCUGCAAGAUGCAAGUUGCACCAGCCUAACAAGUUUGAUGCAAGCUCUUCAGGUUGCAUAUGUAUAAUGUCUGCAUCUUAAGAUGAAGCAGAAUUCAGUUAUGAGGAAAAUAAAAAGUAUGGGUCACAGACCAUUGGUGGAAAAAGAUACGCAAGGUUCUCUGGUGGCAUUCUGUUAUUACUACCUACCUUGCAGCCUUCAAUCCCUUGCCACCUUCUCCCUUUGCUGAAGCACAGUGACCUGUGGUGGCAUGGGUGCUGCAUGUGCACUGAGGCAACAACUAACUACAUGUCCCCUGGAGAGCACCUUGGGCUGGUUCUAUGUUGUGGAAGGCAGUACUGUGUUCUAUAUGCUCAUGCUGCUUUUGUUCUCUAGGACAAAAAAGCACUUCUUCUGGAAAGUUAACAGGGCAGAACUGGUAGGAGAUUCUUUCCCAGUCAUCACAAGAUCUGAUUCUUUUUUUUUUCUAAUUUUUAUUUUUUUGUGUCAAAUCUGAUCUGUUUGGUUUAAUAGAGCCAUUGAUUUAUGGCUACAGGGGUGAAAUAAAAAAUAGGAUCUUGUUGAUUAAGAGGAGUUGAGUGGACUUCUGAAUAAAUGAGAAAGGGAAAUUAGAGAAGUAAAAACAGGCACUGUAUCUUUGAGCACUAUACUAAGUAAAAGUUCAUUUUGCUUUUGUGCGUUCAUUUGCUCUGAGCCUAUAUCUGGAAAUUUUUAAUGGCAUUCUCCUACGAGUUACUAGACAGUGAGAGCAUCUUGAACUUUCAAAAUAUAGCUGCAGUUAACUCUGUGAAAUGCUUAGGAACCAGCAGCUGCGUACUGUGUUGUGGUAUCUGAGAAAGCAACAUCUGACUUUUCUGUUCCUUCCCAGCCCUCCCAGUCUAAAACCACUGCACAUCACAUCAGGUGGCUUUCAAAAUGAUGAGCUUGCCACUAGAUCCUCUUGUCAUUGCCCUGUUCACUGCAACUUCUGAGAACCAUUUUUUAAAUAGGUAUAUAAAGGCUGGAGAUGCCAGAGUAUGUAAACACAGGUGAAUCUAGCUGUUAAUAGGUUAGAGAACUGGCACUCUAUUGUAAGGUAACAGAUACAGUGCUGCAUUUUAGAUGGAAAGUUAUUCUUCAAAUAGAAGUUGUUUUGCUAUGUACUUGGACUAUUAAUUAUGCUUUCAAUUCAGAAACGCACAAAGCACCAUUUGUGUGCAUCUUCAGCAAAGUUCAUGUGGAAACACUGAAUCAUCCAAAUCAUCUGAAUGAUGCAUACUAUUCAGGGGCUGUUUUCUUCAGCAGGCAGCUGGUGAUCUCUCUUCCUGUAUUCAUGGGGCAGUUUUGAGGGGGUGGUAAGAAAAGGAAGAGGGGAAGGAGUCCCAGGUGUCAGGGCAGCCCUCUUGGUUCACAUAUGCAAACUGUAAAGUCAUCUCUAGACUUGUGUAGGAGCUCUCAGAGAUGAAAUUGCAGGACUUGUCAGCUCUUGCUACACCUCUUCUGAAGAGCAUAUAUUUGAAAAGUCAAGGCAUAGAUCUGCCAGUUGCCACAUUUUCCUGUCAGCACAGCAAGUCCCCUCAACACGCAAAGGAAGAAAAUCUGACUCAUGUCAAACUCUUGAUGCAAGUUACACAAGAUGCAACUUUAUGCCUGUAUGAGAGGUAUAUUUCUCUUGUUUUUUUUCCCCCCUUCUGUUUAAACUGAGUGUGUACAAUAAAUUUUCAGUCAUUGAGAUUAUGAUGCCAGUAAAGAAUCCUGGAAGUGUUUUUUCUGUGGUUCCCUC